Molecule: non-coding RNA, 136 nt
Organism: Pelobates cultripes (western spadefoot toad)
Lineage: Eukaryota; Metazoa; Chordata; Amphibia; Anura; Pelobatidae
Source: the annotation of a GenBank genome assembly
GUGCACGCGAGGGAGCACUCUCCCCUGAGUGCUCCCUCUUCAGCUCCCUCGCGUGCCAUCUUCCGGCUCUGGUAUCAGUGCGGUGCACGAGGGAGUUGAAGAGGGUGCACUCAGGGGAGAGUUCUCACUUGCGCGC